This 72-nucleotide transfer RNA is filed under the name Longimicrobiales bacterium. RNAcentral describes it as "tRNA-Glu". It matches the Rfam family "tRNA". From Rfam's summary of the family: Transfer RNA (tRNA) molecules are approximately 80 nucleotides in length. Lineage: Bacteria; Pseudomonadati; Gemmatimonadota; Longimicrobiia; Longimicrobiales. RNAcentral also lists the same sequence under 1 other name. The record is from RNAcentral.
GCCCCCAUCGUCUAAUGGUCAGGACACCAGGCUUUCAAUCUGGUAAUAGGGGUUCGAUUCCCCUUGGGGGCA